CUGUUUUUCCUUCACAGGCUCUGUUGUUUCUAUAAAAGUCAGUGCAACAGGAGCAGGCGAGUGGCGUAAGCUGUCCUUCAACCGUGAAGAAUCAAUGGCAUUGCUCCCCUCAGCAGUAGCACCAAUAAUCGUCCCAUCAUUAGGUUGACGAAUAUAAGGAGGCAAAUCCUACUGUAUAAUCUGCGAAUUCUGGAAGAAUUGAAAAUACGAGCAU
This 214-nucleotide long non-coding RNA is filed under the name Vitis vinifera (wine grape). RNAcentral's name for it is "long non-coding RNA (VVIN_LNC007004)". The record is from RNAcentral. Lineage: Eukaryota; Viridiplantae; Streptophyta; Magnoliopsida; Vitales; Vitaceae.